AUCACUUGUGAGUUCCAGCACAGACUUAGCUGGAUCACGAGCUGCAAGAUGAGGCACGCGACUAACCCUCCUAUGAGGAUUCUUCUAGCAUCACGGCUAUCCCUACGAGCGCUAGAGUCUGUGGAGGGAAGGUGGCUCUAAUCUACGAGGAAUCUUCUAGCUCCGGAGUACUCUUUGAAGCUUCUCUACAAUCAAAUAACAACAAUCAAAGACAGUAUGUCGCUACUCAAUCCUGAUUUUGAUCGACCUCCACGGCAAUCUAUUUAUAGCAAAACGCCACAACCACCACCCACUCGGGAGUUACUAUUUGCCCAUGACAAGUACUGACGAG
Molecule: long non-coding RNA, 331 nt
Filed under: Setaria viridis
Lineage: Eukaryota; Viridiplantae; Streptophyta; Magnoliopsida; Poales; Poaceae
Description: long non-coding RNA (SVIR_LNC006713)
Source: RNAcentral